UGGGGAAUAUUGGACAAUGGGGGCAACCCUGAUCCAGCCAUGCCGCGUGAGUGAUGAAGGCCUUAGGGUUGUAAAGCUCUUUCGCCGGUGAAGAUAAUGACGGUAACCGGUAAAGAAGCCCCGGCUAACUUCGUGCCAGCAGCCGCGGUAAUACGAAGGGGGCUAGCGUUGUUCGGAAUUACUGGGCGUAAAGCGCGCGUAGGCGGGUCAUUAAGUCAGGGGUGAAAUCCCGGGGCUCAACCUCGGAAUUGCCUCUGAUACUGGUGGCCUUGAGUCCGUGAGAGGUGAGUGGAACUCCGAGUGUAGAGGUGAAAUUCGUAGAUAUUGGGAGGAACACCAGUAGCGAAGGCGGCUGGCUGGGCCAUUCCUGACGCUGAGACGCGAAAGCAUGGGGAGCGAACAGGAUUAGAUACCCCCGUAGUCC
Molecule: ribosomal RNA, 424 nt
Filed under: uncultured prokaryote
Description: bacterial SSU rRNA
Rfam family: Bacterial small subunit ribosomal RNA
Source: RNAcentral